UGCAAGUCGAACGGCAGCACGGGAGCUUGCUCCUGGUGGCGAGUGGCGAACGGGUGAGUAAUGCGUCGGAACGUGCCGAGUAAUGGGGGAUAACGCAGCGAAAGCUGUGCUAAUACCGCAUACGCCCUGAGGGGGAAAGUGGGGGAUCGCAAGACCUCACGUUAUUCGAGCGGCCGACGUCUGAUUAGCUGGUUGGUGGGGUAAUGGCCUACCAAGGCGACGAUCAGUAGCGGGUCUGAGAGGAUGAUCCGCCACACUGGAACUGAGACACGGUCCAGACUCCUACGGGAGGCAGCAGUGGGGAAUUUUGGACAAUGGGGGCAACCCUGAUCCAGCCAUUCCGCGUGAGUGAAGAAGGCCUUCGGGUUGUAAAGCUCUUUCAGCUGGAACGAAACGGUACGCGCUAACAUCGUGUGCUAAUGACGGUACCGGCAGAAGAAGCACCGGCUAACUACGUGCCAGCAGCCGCGGUAAUACGUAGGGUGCGAGCGUUAAUCGGAAUUACUGGGCGUAAAGCGUGCGCAGGCGGAUUGUUAAGCAAGAUGUGAAAUCCCCGGGCUUAACCUGGGAAUGGCAUUUUGAACUGGCAGUCUAGAGUGCGUCAGAGGGGGGUGGAAUUCCACGUGUAGCAGUGAAAUGCGUAGAGAUGUGGAGGAACACCGAUGGCGAAGGCAGCCCCCUGGGAUGACACUGACGCUCAUGUACGAAAGCGUGGGUAGCAAACAGGAUUAGAUACCCUGGUAGUCCACGCCCUAAACGAUGUCAACUGGUUGUUGGGGGAGUGAAAUCCCUUAGUAACGAAGCUAACGCGUGAAGUUGACCGCCUGGGGAGUACGGUCGCAAGAUUAAAACUCAAAGGAAUUGACGGGGACCCGCACAAGCGGUGGAUGAUGU
RNAcentral lists this ribosomal RNA (894 nucleotides) under uncultured soil bacterium. Its description in RNAcentral is "bacterial SSU rRNA". It matches the Rfam family "Bacterial small subunit ribosomal RNA", at positions 56 to 942 of the family's 1533-position model. The record is from RNAcentral.